AUUGAACGCUGGCGGCAUGCCUUACACAUGCAAGUCGAACGGCAGCACGGGAGCAAUCCUGGUGGCGAGUGGCGAACGGGUGAGUAAUAUAUCGGAACGUGCCCAGUAGUGGGGGAUAACUGCUCGAAAGAGCAGCUAAUACCGCAUACGACCUGAGGGUGAAAGGGGGGAUCGCAAGACCUCUCGCUAUUGGAGCGGCCGAUAUCAGAUUAGCUAGUUGGUGGGGUAAAGGCCUACCAAGGCGACGAUCCGUAGCUGGUCUGAGAGGACGAUCAGCCACACUGGGACUGAGACACGGCCCAGACUCCUACGGGAGGCAGCAGUGGGGAAUAUUGGACAAUGGGGGAAACCCUGAUCCAGCAAUGCCGCGUGUGUGAAGAAGGCCUGCGGGUUGUAAAGCACUUUUGGCAGGGAUGAAAAGCACUGGCCUAACAAUCCAGUGUGUUGACCUAACCUGCAGAAGAAGCACCGGCUAACU
RNAcentral lists this ribosomal RNA (478 nucleotides) under uncultured bacterium. RNAcentral's name for it is "bacterial SSU rRNA". It matches the Rfam family "Bacterial small subunit ribosomal RNA", at positions 30 to 502 of the family's 1533-position model. The record is from RNAcentral.